CAUCCAGCUCCACUCCGAACCUGGAAAUUAAGCAGUCGCGGGCCACAUCAGUACUGGGCUGGGCGACUUCCCGGGAACGUGCGGUGCUUGCUUCUU
Trichomonas vaginalis G3 is the source of this 96-nucleotide non-coding RNA. NCBI's taxonomy places the organism in Eukaryota, Parabasalia, Trichomonadida, Trichomonadidae. The record is from Rfam.